GCGGAGGAUCAUUACCGAGUGAGGGCCCUCUGGGUCCAACCUCCCACCCGUGUUUAUUUUACCUUGUUGCUUCGGCGGGCCCGCCUUAACUGGCCGCCGGGGGGCUUACGCCCCCGGGCCCGCGCCCGCCGAAGACACCCUCGAACUCUGUCUGAAGAUUGUAGUCUGAGUGAAAAUAUAAAUUAUUUAAAACUUUCAACAACGGAUCUCUUGGUUCCGGCAUCGAUGAAGAACGCAGCGAAAUGCGAUACGUAAUGUGAAUUGCAAAUUCAGUGAAUCAUCGAGUCUUUGAACGCACAUUGCGCCCCCUGGUAUUCCGGGGGGCAUGCCUGUCCGAGCGUCAUUUCUGCCCUCAAGCACGGCUUGUGUGUUGGGCCCCGUCCUCCGAUCCCGGGGGACGGGCCCGAAAGGCAGCGGCGGCACCGCGUCCGGUCCUCGAGCGUAUGGGGCUUUGUCACCCGCUCUGUAGGCCCGGCCGGCGCUUGCCGAUCAACCCAAAUUUUUAUCCAGGUUGACCUCGGAUCAGGUAGGGAUACCCGCUGAACUUAAGCAUAUCAAUAAGCGGA
Molecule: ribosomal RNA, 566 nt
Filed under: Penicillium chrysogenum
Lineage: Eukaryota; Fungi; Ascomycota; Eurotiomycetes; Eurotiales; Aspergillaceae
Description: eukaryotic LSU rRNA
Rfam family: 5.8S ribosomal RNA (bases 191-343)
Source: RNAcentral